Nerophis lumbriciformis (worm pipefish) is the source of this 2998-nucleotide non-coding RNA. The record is from RefSeq and is a predicted model, not a curated record. Lineage: Eukaryota; Metazoa; Chordata; Actinopteri; Syngnathiformes; Syngnathidae.
UCUUUGCUGUUUCAAUUGUUACAAUUGUUACUUUGUUUUUGUGCUCUGCUUUUUUGCCCUGCCUUCCUAUGGCCAGUUUAUUUUGUACUUUGUUCCCUUUGUUUUCUUCAUGGCACUGGUUCCUCCACCCAGUGCCAUUGUUUUUUGUUCAUGCCCUUAUUUGGAUAAGUAAAGACGUUUCUUUUUAACUGUUACAACGUCCUCCUGUCUUUGCUGAGCGUGACAGAAAGAACCAGCCAGAAAAAUGGAUCCCAGAGAACCAUUUUUUCCCCCAGAGUACUCUCCAUGAACAUGACACCCGUCUCUGCCAACAGGAGGAACAGGUCACUGAGCUGGGAGCGUGUUUCAAUAAAUUGGCGGCACGACAACAAGCAGCACGUACAGCGGCUAUCGAGGAGAGGCUUGCCACUUUCGUCUCCUCCCUUCAGAACAACUGAAGCCCAGAACGUUUUUCCGGAGACACAGGUGAUGUCUGUCCUUUCCUUAUUCAAUGCCAACUACAUUUUUAACUGCAGCCAACUGCCUUUCAUACCGUGCCCGCGUGGCUUUUGCCAUAUCACACCUCUCUGGUAAAGUCGCUAAAUUGGCCACAGCAGAGUGGAGCCAACAAUCUUCUUUUUGCAGUUCCUGGCCAAGGAGCACAUUUUUCAGUGGACUCCCCCGGGCCGUGAAGCAGCCCGGUCCUCAGUGUGUUGAAAGAUGCUAUAGACUUCCGUACUCUCGCCGUCAAGAGCGAUUGGAACCCUGCUGCUCUCUUGGAUGCUUUCUGCUUGGGCUUGGAUGACUGCAUUAAGCAUCACAUGAUUGCUGUUGACUUACCUCUGGACCUUGAUGACCUCCUCUCACUGUCGGUUUAAAUCGACAAGCGAAUCAAUGAGCAAGAGGAGGACCGAAACCUGCAGCGCAAUUUUGGUGGGGCUUGGCACAGAUAACCAGACUUGCACCAGCUAGACGAGUCUGUCUACCACUCACUUCCGGGCACUGUUGGACCUCCUUCCAUGCAACUUGGUGGCAACCGACUUCCGUCCACUGAGAGACAACGUUGUCAGCGUCUACACCUCUGCCUAUACUGUAGGUAUUCGGACCACUUGAUCUCCCGAUGUCCCAAUCGUCCAACCAACUGCCGAUCUCAAGCACGUUUCCCUUCUGGUGCGACGUCACCGACAGCGGGCCAACUUUCUCUGCCAUCAGCUCCGGCAUCUUCCAGACAGCGGCUACAACUUCCAGGUUCUGUAUGGCCCGGUCAUGCUUGUUGCUGAUGACCAGCCAUCUUGAAGAUUCAUGAAACCACCUGAAUGAACAUUUACAAACUUACUGAGUGAGAAUGUGUUGAGCCCCAGGCCCGACAGUGCCAUCCCGCAACCAAAGCGGCACAGACAGAAGAUGGGGAAGGAUGUGGAGAAAGCGGCGCACGUCCCAGACACCGCCAUCAGUAGGACAGAUAAGAAAGGCCAUAAAGCGUGGUGUGUGGAGUUUGAAAGCUGCUUUUUGCAUGCCCAUCAUCAAAUCUAAUGUAUGUGCGGGAGCCAAAGUACGGCCCCAGCCUCCGAGACAGCCCAACCCAAAACAGCAGGUGCGGCGCCCAGGGAACAAGGGACCACUGGCUCCACGCAACCAGGCUGGCCAGAGUCAGGAACCCCGGCAGGGCCAGCAGCAGGCCAUAGACAGACGCGCCUGACAGAGGACAAGGCACGGGAGACGCAGGGGACAGCCAGCCCCCAAGUCAACGAGAGACCACACCCCACGCGGGCAUAAAAGCAGGACGCCCCGCCCUGAGGGGCCCAGAGACUCCCCGCAACUGGACGAGAAGACCGCCCCUGACCCACCAGCAACGGGCAUAAGCCCGGAAAAAGUGAACCACUGUGAAUACUUUCCGGAUGUACCGUAUUUGUAGCGUAAGCGUCUAGGCGGAUGCCUCGAGGGCGCUCGCAUUCGAAGAUACUGUGUGCAUUAUAUCCCGCCCUCUUCUCGGUACAAUCAUGUAAGCUACGCCUUACUAACAACACUAGUUGUACUAGAAGGAUGACGUUCUAGUACAACUGCAGUGUUUGGAAAAGUGUGCAAAAAUACAAAAAACUGAGCAUCAGUUUUUAAAUUUAGUCUAUGUGCACGCGACAGCCAUGAUUGACAGCCUUUUUAUGAUAUAAAAUAUAUACAUUUCUUAGUUCAUCAUCUUAUCUUAUCGGACCAGACAAAGAUCCAAAUCUUAGCCAGUGGUGUGGCUUUUUUCAUGGCAUUGUUUGUGACAUUGACAUGGUUCACAGUAAAGGCCAUUAGUCCCUGAUGUGUUGAAGGUCUUGUUGGAGUUCACCACAGUCUCACCGGCUCUGUUGUUUGUUAAAUCGAUUCUUUUAAACCACUAUUGGUAACAUAUGCUCACUGUUGGUAAUGUUUGUAUAUUUUUUUGGUUUAAAUUUUUUUUUAUUUGUCAUAAGCUGGAUGCUGCACUGGUAACUAAGGCAGCAGAACACUGUGAAAGUGAAUCAUUCAUUGCAAAUCAUUUUUACAUCAUUAUUUUAAAUAUAUACAAUCAUACAGUAUAGAACAAACACAUACAAUAAUGUAAAUACUAGAUAGAAAAAAUAUAGUUAUUUAAACAACCAUGAAAAUCUAAUUUUACUAUUAAUUACAGUUCAAUAUUGGUUAUCUUGCUACAGUCCUGGAAGUACCAUCUCAUAAGAUACAAGAAUAAACUAGUACAAAGAUAACCCUUCCCUUCCUUAAACUGAUCAAAUCAACCUAAUGUAGGGCAUUUGCAAACAAUCACAUAUUUGCACAGUACUGUUCUUUCAUCAGCGUCAGGAAUAGAUUGUUUUCACAGAUUGUCACCUGAAAACACAUUUCCUAAGAUAGCUGUUGUCUGCAAGUGUCAGUUACAUGUAAACUAAAGCAAAUACACAUAUAGAUUAUACAAAGUGUUAUCUGCUGUAGAUAAAUGACAACAUGCAUUAAAAGGCUAUGUACUACUGUAUUUAUAAAAUGUUUGAAUGUUUGUAUU